Long non-coding RNA from Prunus persica (peach), 1224 nucleotides. RefSeq lists it as uncharacterized. Lineage: Eukaryota; Viridiplantae; Streptophyta; Magnoliopsida; Rosales; Rosaceae. The record is from RefSeq and is a predicted model, not a curated record. The transcript is spliced from 5 exons.
CCAUUGUUUGAACACUGCGAUUGACUGAAAGUCUGCAACCCGAAAUUGAAAAUGUUUACCUGCAAAUUUGAGCUUGAGAUUGAGAUUUGGAAGCCGAAGCAAGCACAAGUCAUGGGAACCCUAAAUACAAAAUUUGCUGACUUGGGGAUUAUUUUCUGUCUUAUGGCUGGAACUUUUGGUUUUGGCCAUGACUGGCUGGGUGAAGGAGCUUUUGAGGAAUUAUUGUAACAAAAAUUUCAGAAACUGAGGUUUAUUGAGUUGAUGGAUUGUUGUUUUUCUGGGGCUGAUGAGAACACUCAGACUAAUGGAGGAAAUGAACUUAUUUUUCCAGUUUAUCCAGUCCUUCCAUGCAGAGAUACAAUGCAGCGCUCAAGAACAAAUUCCUGUGAUCUUCUUGCCCAGCUUCCUUCUUCUCUGUCCUUAGACUAUGGGAUUUAUGCACAUCCAUUAAUAUCAAACCAGCCCAUUUGGUUGAACUCCUCUUCUAACAGAGAUUCAAGUGCCAUGGCAGUGAGCUCAAGUUCCCAUUUUUCCUAGCUAGUUCCAAAAGAAAGUCCUUUUCUGAACAUAUAAUUACUUACAUUUUGCUGGAAAGAGGUGGGACCAGAGUUUUGGUUCCAAGUGCAGAGGGUUGAUUGAGCUGUUUGUCUACAAAGAUGUCUCUGGUGACCAACAAUUGAUUGAUUAUAUCACAGCCCAAUGCAACAUUUCACUGGAGCAAGACACCCUGCUUGGUGUUGGCUGCAAUACAAGCUUCCCUGUCAACAUAAAUGACAUGAGCACUGAAAUACAACCACAGCCCUUUCCAGGCAAUGAGAAUGAAGGAAAUGAUCAUCUGAACAGUAAUCAUUUCCAGCAGUCGCCUGUUGUUUCCCCAGUGGAUCAUGAUUCCAAUGUGCCAUACGACAUAUCAGUUGAUCGAAUCCUUCUCUGCCGCACUUCUCCAAUGAAUGUCCUGCAAAAUGUCACUUACAACUCAGAGAACAGCAUGAAGAAUGUCCUUGUUUUUGUGAGAAUUGAUAAUGCCCUUGUAUUUGAUAGAGGUCAUGUGUUGAUCGCUGAACAAGAAUGAUCGUCAAAAAUUUCGUCUUUUCUAUAUGGUUUUGAAUGUAUAGUUGAUGUCUUGUAUGAUUCUUAAUUGUAAAUAAAGGAUGGGAUUCAUUGCUUAGUACCAACAAUUGCUGUCAAUAAUGAAGCAAAAACAUGCAGAACAUGGUAUUUUUU